GACGAACGCUGGCGGCGUGCUUAACACAUGCAAGUCGAACGGAAAGGCCCUGCUUUUGUGGGGUGCUCGAGUGGCGAACGGGUGUGUAACACGUGAGUAACCUGCCCUUGACUUUGGGAUAACUUCAGGAAACUGGGGCUAAUACCGGAUAGGAGCUCCUGCUGCAUGGUGGGGGUUGGAAAGUUUCGGCGGUUGGGGAUGGACUCGCGGCUUAUCAGCUUGUUGGUGGGGUAGUGGCUUACCAAGGCUUUGACGGGUAGCCGGCCUGAGGGGGUGACCGGCCACAUUGGGACUGAGAUACGGCCCAGACUCCUACGGGAGGCAGAAGUGGGGAAUAUUGCACAAUGGGCGGAAGCCUGAUGCAGCAACGCCGCGUGCGGGAUGACGGCCUUCGGGUUGUAAACCGCUUUCGCCUGUGACGAAGCGUGAGUGACGGUAAUGGGUAAAGAAGCACCGGCUAACUACGUG
This 468-nucleotide ribosomal RNA is filed under the name uncultured bacterium. Its description in RNAcentral is "partial 16S ribosomal RNA". It matches the Rfam family "Bacterial small subunit ribosomal RNA", at positions 28 to 507 of the family's 1533-position model. The record is from RNAcentral.